UAGGGAAUUUUGGGCAAUGGGCGAAAGCCUGACCCAGCAACGCCGCGUGAAGGAUGAAGUAUUUCGGUAUGUAAACUUCGAAAGAAUAGGAAGAAUAAAUGACGGUACUAUUUAUAAGGUCCGGCUAACUACGUGCCAGCAGCCGCGGUAAUACGUAGGGACCAAGCGUUGUUCGGAUUUACUGGGCGUAAAGGGCGCGUAGGCGGCAAUUCAAGUCAUCUGUGAAAUCUCCGGGCUUAACUCGGAACGGUCAGAUGAUACUGCUUUGCUAGAGUGCAGAAGGGGCAAUCGGAAUUCUUGGUGUAGCGGUGAAAUGCGUAGAUAUCAAGAGGAACACCUGAGGUGAAGACGGGUUGCUGGGCUGACACUGACGCUGAGGCGCGAAAGCCAGGGGAGCAAACGGGGAUUAGAUACCCUAGUAGUCCCUGAGCGGGCUGGCAAGGCGCAU
Molecule: ribosomal RNA, 448 nt
Filed under: uncultured bacterium
Lineage: Bacteria
Description: bacterial SSU rRNA
Rfam family: Bacterial small subunit ribosomal RNA
Source: RNAcentral